This 334-nucleotide ribosomal RNA is filed under the name uncultured Anaerolineaceae bacterium. RNAcentral describes it as "bacterial SSU rRNA". It matches the Rfam family "Bacterial small subunit ribosomal RNA", at positions 1036 to 1382 of the family's 1533-position model. The record is from RNAcentral. Lineage: Bacteria; Bacillati; Chloroflexota; Anaerolineae; Anaerolineales; Anaerolineaceae.
AGUGCUGCAUGGCUGUCGUCAGCUCGUGUCGUGAGAUGUUCGGUUAAGUCCGCUAACGAGCGCAACCCUCGCUGUGUGUUAUAUGUGUCACACGGGACUGCCGGUACGUUAAGCCGGAGGAAGGUGGGGAUGAUGUCAAGUCAGCAUGGCCUUUAUAUCCUGGGCUACACACACGCUACAAUGGCCAACACAAUAGGGUUGCUAAGCCGCGAGGCGGAGCCAAUCCUGAAAGCAGGCCUCAGUUCAGAUUGCAGUCUGCAACUCGACUGCAUGAAGCCGGAGUUGCUAGUAACCGCAGGUCAGCAAUACUGCGGUGAAUACGUUCCCGGGUCUU